This 630-nucleotide long non-coding RNA is filed under the name Gossypium raimondii (Peruvian cotton). RNAcentral's name for it is "long non-coding RNA (GRAI_LNC008644)". The record is from RNAcentral. Lineage: Eukaryota; Viridiplantae; Streptophyta; Magnoliopsida; Malvales; Malvaceae.
UGAUAGCAUUCCGUGCAACAGCAUCCGAUGGGGGGAUAAGCCAUUGGUGGUGGAGGACAAGGUUCUGGAACCUUUGGUGCUGCUGCUGGCGGUUUCGGUGGUGGUUCUUUUCGUUUCUCAGGUUCCUUAGGCUUUUCGGGUUGUUUAGGUUUCUCGGGUUCUUUGGGUUUUUCGGGUUCUUUCGGCUUUUCGGGUUGUUUAGGUUUCUCGGGUUCUUUGGGUUUUUCGGGUUCUUUUGGUUUUUCGGGUGCUUUAGGCUUUUCGGGUUCUUUUGGUUUUUCUGGUACUUUAGGCUUCUCUGGUUCUUUGGGUUUUUCAGGUUCUUUGGGCUUUUCGGGUUCUUUAGGCUUCUCAGGCUCCUUGGGUUUGGGAGGAGGAGGUGGAGGUUUGAUCUCAAUGCUCUUGAUUGAUCCAGCACCCUUGCAACAUAUCUUGUCCCUCAGCUUCUCAGGAUUGCAGCAUACCACAGUAAUGGUCACGGUGUUGGCUUUCUCAUUGUAUAUCUGGUCUCGUAUUUCUCUUGUUCGCAAAAACCCAUCAUCAAAAAAUUAUCAACUUAAACCAUAUAAAAAACUACUUUGCAAUUAUUAAAAUGCUAAACACAAAAAGGACAAGCAUAAAAAUCAGGAA